AAGAACAUAAAAUGAUAUUCAUUUUAUUUAUUAGAGGAUGAAAAAAAUACAGCAUUCACACUUUGAUAUAGCAAAAGGCCAGACACAACAAGGAAAGAAAAGAAAAAGGAUAACAACCUCAUUGAAUGAUGAUGACUCUGGAAGUAGGAACUAAAGACUCUCUUUAACAUGCUACAUUAUCACAUGAAGAACAUUUUAGUUGUAGGCAUCUGGGUUGGCCACAAGGUGGUUUUCAAUAAGCUUGAACAAACCAGAGGCUCUCUCUUUGCCAGCCUUAACUUGCUCUUCCUUGAUCUCAACAUCUCCCUUUGUGUGGUAGUUGCUGGUGUUCUUUAUGAUGGAACCUCCAUCAGCAGAUGCCACCAACUUAAUCUCAUAACAGACUUUCUCAAUGGUUUCAGAUAUAGCAUCUCCUUCAAUCAAACUGUAGCUGUAGACAAAGUUUUCUUUGUCAAUGCUGUCAAUCUGAUGCUUCACAUAGCUGUAUUGGCUUCCUUCACCAAGGGUAAUCUUCUUGAUGGUUCCUACCCCUCCAUCUCCUUGAACAAUUUCUGAGCUUUUGAUUGCUUGUGAGGCAAUCUUCGGGAUGAGGUUGUCGGCAUCAAGAACAAAGGCCUUGAACAAUCUUGGUGGUGGGAUGACAGAGGUGAACUCAGUUUCAUAAGUGAACACACCCAUGAUUAUGAUGAUGAUUUAAGAGCUUAGAAAAUGUGAUCAAAGAAAGAAUGGAUUCUGUAGAGGUGAUUAAAUUGAUCUUAGAAAG
This 763-nucleotide long non-coding RNA is filed under the name Prunus dulcis (almond). RNAcentral's name for it is "sRNA ncRNA". The record is from RNAcentral. Lineage: Eukaryota; Viridiplantae; Streptophyta; Magnoliopsida; Rosales; Rosaceae.